AGAGCGAACGCUGGCGGCAGGCUUAACACAUGCAAGUCGAGCGCCCGCAAGGGAGCGGCAGACGGGUGAGUAACGCGUGGGAACGUACCUUUGGUUCGGAGCAACACAGGGAAACUUGUGCUAAUACCGGAUAAGCCCUUACGGGAAGAUUUAUCGCCGAAAGAUCGGCCCGCGUCUGAUUAGCUAGUUGGUGAGGUAACGGCUCACCAAGGCGACGAUCAGUAGCUGGUCUGAGAGGAUGAUCAGCCACAUUGGGACUGAGACACGGCCCAAACUCCUACGGGAGGCAGCAGUGGGGAAUAUUGGACAAUGGGCGCAAGCCUGAUCCAGCCAUGCCGCGUGAGUGAUGAAGGCCCUAGGGUUGUAAAGCUCUUUUAACGGGGAAGAUAAUGACGGUACCCGUAGAAUAAGCCCCGGCUAACUUCGUGCCAGCAGCCGC
RNAcentral lists this ribosomal RNA (439 nucleotides) under uncultured bacterium. RNAcentral describes it as "SSU rRNA". It matches the Rfam family "Bacterial small subunit ribosomal RNA", at positions 26 to 518 of the family's 1533-position model. The record is from RNAcentral.